Molecule: transfer RNA, 51 nt
Filed under: Cobetia sp.
Lineage: Bacteria; Pseudomonadati; Pseudomonadota; Gammaproteobacteria; Oceanospirillales; Halomonadaceae
Description: tRNA-Ser
Rfam family: tRNA
About the family: Transfer RNA (tRNA) molecules are approximately 80 nucleotides in length. Their secondary structure includes four short double-helical elements and three loops (D, anti-codon, and T loops).
Source: RNAcentral
GCCGGCCUGUCACGCCGGAGGUCGCGGGUUCGAGUCCCGUCCGGUCCGCCA